GAUGAACGCUGGCGGCGUGCCUAAUACAUGCAAGUCGAGCGAACGGACGAGAAGCUUGCUUCUCUGAUGUUAGCGGCGGACGGGUGAGUAACACGUGGAUAACCUACCUAUAAGACUGGGAUAACUUCGGGAAACCGGAGCUAAUACCGGAUGAUAUUUUGAACCGCAUGGUUCAAAAGUGAAAGACGGUCUUGCUGUCACUUAUAGAUGGAUCCGCGCUGCAUUAGCUAGUUGGUAAGGUAACGGCUUACCAAGGCAACGAUGCAUAGCCGACCUGAGAGGGUGAUCGGCCACACUGGAACUGAGACACGGUCCAGACUCCUACGGGAGGCAGCAGUAGGGAAUCUUCCGCAGUGGGCGAAAGCCUGACGGAGCAACGCCGCGUGAGUGAUGAAGGUCUUCGGAUCGUAAAACUCUGUUAUUAGGGAAGAACAUAUGUGUAAGUAACUGUGCACAUCUUGACGGUACCUAAUCAGAAAGCCACGGCUAACUACGU
Molecule: ribosomal RNA, 496 nt
Filed under: uncultured bacterium
Lineage: Bacteria
Description: partial 16S ribosomal RNA
Rfam family: Bacterial small subunit ribosomal RNA
Source: RNAcentral